CGGAUUGCAGCCUGCAACUCGGCUGCAUGAAGCUGGAAUCGCUAGUAAUCGCGGAUCAGAAUGCCGCGGUGAAUACGUUCCCGGGUCUUGUACACACCGCCCGUCACACCAUGGGAGCCGGAAACGCCCGAAGCCAGCGGCCCAACCGCAAGGGGGGAGCUGUCGAAGGCGGGUCCGGUGACCGGGGUGAAGUCGUAACAAGGUAGC
This 207-nucleotide ribosomal RNA is filed under the name uncultured bacterium. RNAcentral describes it as "partial 16S ribosomal RNA". It matches the Rfam family "Bacterial small subunit ribosomal RNA", at positions 1294 to 1500 of the family's 1533-position model. The record is from RNAcentral.